AGAUGACAGGUUAAUGGAUGUAUAAAUGAUUAAAUAAAAAAAGAGACUUGUGUAAAAUGGUACAUAUUUUAAAAGAUUGGAAAGUGUUCUACCAUGCAUAUGAAAAGAUUGAAUGACAUAUUUUGAAACAUUGGAUAUAAUAAACAGUUUCAUAUAGGUUAACAUUUGAAGUGAAUAAAUAAAGGACUGUUCUCAAAACAAAAUGGCGGAUAUUUCCCGUGAAAUAUCUUCACGAUACGAAUCAAGAGAAUUCAUAUUAAGAAAGGAAGAAACGUGGAAGCAGAAGAAACAGCCGUUAGCGUGUUUUUGGGAUUAACUGGUCAAGUUACUCUUUUUCUUGACAGGAUUAGCAUGGUGCCGGCAUGAAGGAUUCAUAAUCCUCUUUUACCGCCUUUGUUCUUCGGCACCCGCGUUACUUUUCGCCAGCAACCAACGAACUCGGCUGCACAAAAAAUUAGUACACGUUUUAAAAACCGUUCGCGUUUAACAAACCACCCGCUGUUAACAUGUGUACGCAUCGUCUCUCAUUAAUCAACUAUAACGUACUGUUUUAAUCAUUUUAGCGAGUUCUUUUAUUUUUCGAUGGGUUCUCGAAACUUACUUUCGGGGUGAGCGUAUCCUUUACAUCUCCGUGCAAAGAGGUGGCAAUUAAAGAUUCGAAUCUUGAUAAAGUUAAAUUAUAAGGAACGGAUAUAACUUUUUGUGGAUUUUAUUAUUUCGAUACGUUUUAAGUAUGCUUUUAAUUAAAAAGUAAGGUAAGUAUUACUAAUUGCAAGGUGGUUUGAGAAAAUACUUUUAUAUUUAUUUCUUUUCCA
Molecule: long non-coding RNA, 815 nt
Filed under: Megachile rotundata (alfalfa leafcutting bee)
Lineage: Eukaryota; Metazoa; Arthropoda; Insecta; Hymenoptera; Megachilidae
Description: uncharacterized LOC105662091, transcript variant X1
Source: RNAcentral